CUGCAUGUUUCCAAGGACUGUGGCUGGUUGUUGCCAUGGGAUCUCCAACUGCAUGCAAGAACAAUGUGGAGAGACUUUGACAGCUUAGGUCAGUACAGUACCUGUAGCUGCCACUCACCUUUCCUAUAAUG
Otolemur garnettii (small-eared galago) is the source of this 131-nucleotide small nucleolar RNA. NCBI's taxonomy places the organism in Eukaryota, Metazoa, Chordata, Mammalia, Primates, Galagidae. The record is from Ensembl.